RNAcentral lists this ribosomal RNA (529 nucleotides) under uncultured bacterium. Its description in RNAcentral is "bacterial SSU rRNA". It matches the Rfam family "Bacterial small subunit ribosomal RNA", at positions 8 to 526 of the family's 1533-position model. The record is from RNAcentral.
AGAGUUUGAUCCUGGCUCAGGAUGAACGCUAGCUACAGGCUUAACACAUGCAAGUCGAGGGGCAGCAUGGAAGAAGCUUGCUUCUUCUGAUGGCGACCGGCGCACGGGUGCGUAACGCGUAUCAAACCUGCCUCAUACUCGGGGAUAGCCUUGCGAAAGUAAGAUUAAUACCCGAUGUUGUUAUGUUACCGCAUGGUGAUAUAACCAAAGAUUUAUCGGUAUGAGAUGGUGAUGCGUCCGAUUAGGUAGUAGGCGGGGUAACGGCCCACCUAGCCUUCGAUCGGUAGGGGUUCUGAGAGGAAGGUCCCCCACACUGGAACUGAGACACGGUCCAGACUCCUACGGGAGGCAGCAGUGAGGAAUAUUGGUCAAUGGACGGAAGUCUGAACCAGCCAAGUAGCGUGCAGGAUGACGGCCCUCUGGGUUGUAAACUGCUUUUAGUUGGGAAUAAAAAAGAGGACGUGUCCUCUAUUGUAUGUACCUUCAGAAAAAGGACCGGCUAAUUCCGUGCCAGCCGCCGCGGUAAUUC